UCCUCGUUGACCGAGGCAGUCUCGCAUAAAAAAUACAACAUGCGACAAGGGUUGCGCUCGUUGCGGGACUUAACCCAACAUCUCACGACACGAGCUGACGACGACCAUGCAGCACCUGUCAUCCCGUUCCCCUGCUCCGGCUCUAUGGCCAAUGCUCAUAAAGCCGAUGCAGGGGCACAGCUCCCUUUCGGGAGCCUUCGGGAGAUGUCAAGCCCUGGUAAGGUUCUUCGCUUAUCGUCGAAUUAAACCACACGCUCCACCGCUUGUGCGGGUCCCCGUCAAUUCCUUUGAGUUUUAGCCUUGCGGCCGUACUCCCCAGGCGGGGCACUUAACGCGUUAGCUACGACACCCAGAGGAUCUAUGCUCCGAAUGCCUAGUGCCCAUCGUUUACGGCGUGGAC
This 400-nucleotide unclassified non-coding RNA is filed under the name uncultured bacterium. Its description in RNAcentral is "contains 16S-23S intergenic spacer region". The record is from RNAcentral.